Molecule: long non-coding RNA, 610 nt
Filed under: Locusta migratoria (migratory locust)
Lineage: Eukaryota; Metazoa; Arthropoda; Insecta; Orthoptera; Acrididae
Description: partial Lnc07236
Source: RNAcentral
CCCGGGCUGCAGGAAUUCUAACAUUUAAUAUAGCAUGAAUAAUUACUUUCAGCGAAUCUUAUAAUGUCUUUUAGUAAUUCUUAUCAGGCAGCAAAAAGCACAGUACACCCUGUAGUAUAUUAUACAUAAUAAUUACCACAAAAAACAAUCUUUGGCAAAGCACUUUCUAUAACUUUGCUUAUAUACAUAAAAUUUUCAUGAAUUUCAUACCACCCUAUGUGCUUAUUCAAUGUGAAAUAACAACAAAAAGUAGUUACACAAUAAAAUCAGAAGACCAACUGAACUUAACAUUGAAAUUAUUGUAAGGCAGCAAGUUAAACAAAUUUACCAGAUUAAAUACAUGACAGAUAAAUUACUUGGAGACUGAACAUCCAUCAAUAGUAGUUUUGAUUAGUUUGAAAGAACUUCUUGCCUUAUUACUUUAUACUUUCAUAAACACCUCACCUCACCACCACCCGAUAACAAUCCUUUCAAACUUACAAAAGGAAAAAAAAGGAUUACCUACUAAAUAUUUCAAUGUUCUGAGUUUGCCACCUGGUGCCGAUAUUGACAUAGCACAAAUUAUUACUUUCAGUGUGUCUUGUAGCAAUACUCAUAUGGCAUUUUCAAU